Molecule: ribosomal RNA, 253 nt
Filed under: uncultured bacterium
Lineage: Bacteria
Description: partial 16S ribosomal RNA
Rfam family: Bacterial small subunit ribosomal RNA
Source: RNAcentral
UACGGAAUGUGCAAACGUUAUUCGGAAUCACUGGGCUUAAAGAGUCCGUAGGCGGCUUGUUAGGUGAGGUGUGAAAUCCCUCGGCCCAACCGAGGAAUUGCGCUUCAAACCGGCAAGCUAGAGGAGGAUAGAGGUGGGCGGAACUGAUGGUGGAGCGGUGAAAUGCGUUGAUAUCAGGAGGAACACCGGUGGCGAAGGCGGCUUUCUGGACAGAAACUGACGCUGAUGCGCGAAAGCUAGGGGAGCAAACAGG